GGCGAAAGCCUGAUGCAGCAACGCCGCGUGAAGGAAGAAGGGUUUCGGCUCGUAAACUUCUAUCAACAGGGACGAAAAAAAUGACGGUACCUGAAUAAGAAGCCCCGGCUAACUACGUGCCAGCAGCCGCGGUAAUACGUAGGGGGCAAGCGUUAUCCGGAAUUACUGGGUGUAAAGGGAGAGUAGGCGGCAUGGUAAGUUAGAUGUGAAAGCCCGAGGCUUAACCUCGGGAUUGCAUUUAAAACUAUCAAGCUAGAGUACAGGAGAGGUAAGUGGAAUUCCUAGUGUAGCGGUGAAAUGCGUAGAUAUUAGGAAGAACACCAGUGGCGAAGGCGACUUACUGGACUGAAACUGACGCUGAGGCUCGAAAGCGUGGGGAGCGAACAGGAUUAGAUACCCUGGUAGUCCACGCUGUAAACGAUGAGUGCUAGGUGUCGGGGGGGAACCCUCGGUGCCGCAGCUAACGCAAUAAGCACUCCACCUGGGGAGU
RNAcentral lists this ribosomal RNA (490 nucleotides) under uncultured bacterium. Its description in RNAcentral is "bacterial SSU rRNA". It matches the Rfam family "Bacterial small subunit ribosomal RNA", at positions 374 to 881 of the family's 1533-position model. The record is from RNAcentral.